Molecule: long non-coding RNA, 396 nt
Filed under: Mus spicilegus (steppe mouse)
Lineage: Eukaryota; Metazoa; Chordata; Mammalia; Rodentia; Muridae
Description: lncRNA (ENSMSIG00000009417.1)
Source: RNAcentral
AUUUUUCAGGGCUGGCUAUUGGCACUUGACAACAAAUUGGAGUAUUCUUCCCUGGAGGCACCCACCCCUUCAAUUGCCAGCUUUCCUCAUUUACCAGUGAGUUUUUGUAUAGGUGAGGCCUCCUGGGCUUUUCCCCAUCCACUUUGGCACAUUUAUUUUAACUUAAUGGUUAAAGCCAAAAGGACACAUACAUCACCACUGAAGAAGAGGAAAAAUAAGCACAGCAAUAAAACUCACUCAUAAACUGAGUCUUGCCAGAGAGAUUGACCUGGGCUACCCAUUGUCCCUGUCAACAUGAAGAAAGCAUAUGGAACUCAGCAUAUUGGACAUCUGAAAGACAUGACAAAGACAAAGCCUGUGACAAAGCUUUCUGUUCUCUGUGGGUUGGAACACAAG